RNAcentral lists this ribosomal RNA (1373 nucleotides) under Arthrobacter sp. 346. Its description in RNAcentral is "16S ribosomal RNA". It matches the Rfam family "Bacterial small subunit ribosomal RNA", at positions 66 to 1441 of the family's 1533-position model. The record is from RNAcentral. Lineage: Bacteria; Bacillati; Actinomycetota; Actinomycetes; Micrococcales; Micrococcaceae.
ACGAUGACUCCAGCUUGCUGGGGGGAUUAGUGGCGAACGGGUGAGUAACACGUGAGUAACCUGCCCUUAACUCUGGGAUAAGCCUGGGAAACUGGGUCUAAUACUGGAUAUUGACUUUUCCUCGCAUGGGGUUUGGUUGAAAGCUUUAGUGGUUUUGGAUGGACUCGCGGCCUAUCAGCUUGUUGGUGAGGUAAUGGCUCACCAAGGCGACGACGGGUAGCCGGCCUGAGAGGGUGACCGGCCACACUGGGACUGAGACACGGCCCAGACUCCUACGGGAGGCAGCAGUGGGGAAUAUUGCACAAUGGGCGAAAGCCUGAUGCAGCGACGCCGCGUGAGGGAUGACGGCCUUCGGGUUGUAAACCUCUUUCAGUAGGGAACAAGGCCACACGUUGUGUGGUUGAGGGUACUUGCAGAAGAAGCACCGGCUAACUACGUGCCAGCAGCCGCGGUAAUACGUAGGGUGCAAGCGUUAUCCGGAAUUAUUGGGCGUAAAGAGCUCGUAGGCGGUUUGUCGCGUCUGCCGUGAAAGUCCGGGGCUCAACCCCGGAUCUGCGGUGGGUACGGGCAGACUAGAGUGAUGUAGGGGAGACUGGAAUUCCUGGUGUAGCGGUGAAAUGCGCAGAUAUCAGGAGGAACACCGAUGGCGAAGGCAGGUCUCUGGGCAUUAACUGACGCUGAGGAGCGAAAGCAUGGGGAGCGAACAGGAUUAGAUACCCUGGUAGUCCAUGCCGUAAACGUUGGGCANCUAGUGUGGGGACAUUCCACGUUUUCCGCGCCGUAGCUAACGCAUUAAGUGCCCGCCUGGGGAGUACGGCCGCAAGGCUAAAACUCAAAGGAAUUGACGGGGGCCCGCACAAGCGGCGGAGCAUGCGGAUUAAUUCGAUGCAACGCGAAGAACCUUACCAAGGCUUGACAUAAACUGGAAACGCUUGGAAACAAGUGCCCCGCUUGCGGUCGGUUUACAGGUGGUGCAUGGUUGUCGUCAGCUCGUGUCGUGAGAUGUUGGGUUAAGUCCCGCAACGAGCGCAACCCUCGUUCUAUGUUGCCAGCACGUAAUGGUGGGGACUCAUAGGAGACUGCCGGGGUCAACUCGGAGGAAGGUGAGGACGACGUCAAAUCAUCAUGCCCCUUAUGUCUUGGGCUUCACGCAUGCUACAAUGGCCGGUACAAUGGGUUGCGAUACUGUGAGGUGGAGCUAAUCCCAAAAAGCCGGUCUCAGUUCGGAUUGGGGUCUGCAACUCGACCCCAUGAAGUCGGAGUCGCUAGUAAUCGCAGAUCAGCAACGCUGCGGUGAAUACGUUCCCGGGCCUUGUACACACCGCCCGUCAAGUCACGAAAGUUGGUAACACCCGAAGCCGGUGGCCUAACCC